CCAAGUGGGUUCCACCUGAGGAAGGGGUCCAGUGAGGCUGCUGCUGAGUAGCUCUCCACAGUGUCAGGCUAGCAGUCUUCAGAGUCAGCCUGAGGAUUUCACAGGUGCUCGUGCCCCCUUAAACAGGAAAUUUGGCAUUGUGAGCUAAGCAUCUUCUCUAGCUGGGUGUCCCAAAUGGUUAACAAUCCCAGCAGCAAUGGAUGGGUGGUGAGGAGAUUGAUUGCCUCCUGCAAGCAGCUGACCCUACACGUGUUUAUCCAAGUGACUGGAGCUGUGCCAGUCUCUCUGCUUUCAGCCUUUGACUUCCCACGAACUGCUGACCCAUCAUGUGACAGCUGUGGUGGGGCCAGUGCUGCGAGAUGUGGUAUCGGUGCUUAUCGCCCCUGCUCGGGGGGAAGGGCCCCCAGCUGCCCCGGAGCCUGGCUGUGCUGGGGCACCAGCAGCACCAGCUCCGGCCUCGGGGAGUGGGCAAGCCCCAUGUGUGUCAGAGGGAGGGCUUAUGUACCAGCAGACCCCAUCCCUUAUGGAGAGAUGCUUCCCUGCUCCCUUGGAACAACUGCUUCAUGCCCACCCGGCCUUCAGAGCCCUGCACAGGACAUUUUGUGGGCUGCCAGACCUGGGCUCCUGUUUAACCAGUCCCUCUGCCCAGUGGGAGGUUUUUGCUUGCUCCCCCAGCACAUGACUUACAGGGUGGCUCCAAACUGCUCUUGGUCUUCCUGGGCUGGAGCCUGUUUACAAAACAGUGGCUGAAAGCUGCUAUUUAUCCUUACAUACACAUUGCAUUCAGAGUUGCUAAAUAGGCAAACCCAAAAUGAAAGUCAUCUGGGUUUUCUUUAAUUAGAAUAAAAUCCUGAUGAAUCAGGAGGUUCUGUACCUCAAGGAUGCACCAGGAAUUGACUUUGGCUGCAGACAGCAAGGUACAGCAGUCAGCAGAGCCGGCUCGCUGCCUUGACAUCUGCUGGAAAGACUUGUUUUUCCCUCCCGAGUCACAUGCUAGCUUGUGAUCUGAUCAUGGGAUACAAAGGAUAACCUUCCAAUAUUUGCUCUUCUCAUCUGCAAUUUCAAAAGGCAGGGGAAAAGAGCAAAAAGCAGCAUAAGAGAGGAAAGCACAAGCCCCCUUUCCUCACUUGAUUAGUGUUGCUGUAGGUGCUGUGCUUGUUGCUGGGACAGGGCAGGAGUCUGGCUGCAAUGCCAUGGGCUGUGCUUGUGCCUGUUGUGGCCCUGAGGGAGCAUGUCAGUGUGGACAGAGCAAUUGUUGCUCUGUGUUCAGCCACGUGGGCAUCCUCCCCUCCAGUGCCACCCCACCUGUGUGCCAGCAGAGGUGGGCAGGGGCUGCCUGUCCCAGGGUGACCUGCACUGGCACAGGCAGGGGAAGCCUGUCCUCCCCACGGCUGCCCAGCACUGGCCCUGUGCCAUCCUUCAGCAUUCAGCUUUCACGUUUUAUUAUAAAUGCCAAAGUGACAUUUUUUAUAACAAUAUCCUAAUGUAGUCAGUCAGGCAGGUGGAGUUACUUGUGCUCUAGUCCAAAGGUUUAUAGCAAGCCCAGCUGCAAGAUUAAACCAGAAUCACCCUUGAAUAAAAUCCCCUAUAUAAUUUUGGGGGAUUUUUUGCUAGUGCAGCUUGGGUACAUUUAUUUCUGUGAGCUGAUGCCUAUCAAGGACCAAAAACCCCCAGAAGUGCACCAUGGUCCACAGGGGCUGUUGUCUUUGAGGCUUUCAGGCUGCUGAAGGCUUUGGGGGAGUUCCUGCUGCAGGGAGAGCAGCACAGAGCAGUGGGGCAGGGCUGUCUGCUUGCUGAGCCAGAGAGGUGUGUGCCACUGAGCACCAAAUCUGCCACAGGCUGCAUAUGUGCAGCAAACCUGAAUUGCACGUAGAGUGGGAUUGCUCUGGGGAUGACAGGCUGGGAUCAGCAGUCUGUGUCUGUCUUUCCCAAACUGUGUCAGGGGAGAUGCUCCAGGCAAAGCCAAAAGGGCUGUGCCUGUGUGUGACACACGAUGUGUCAUCCAGACAGAGUGAGGAACACCACCACAGCUGCCCUGACCAACAGUGGCUGCUUGGGGGAACAAGGAGGGGUGGAUGUCACUGGGGAGAAGCAGCCAGCCCAGACUGAGUGAUGAGAGCAGCACCCAGCCACAGGCUGGCCACAGGCUGGCCACAGCUAUUCCAGUGUGACAGGGCUGAGUGCUGCGGU
Long non-coding RNA from Passer montanus (Eurasian tree sparrow), 2190 nucleotides. RefSeq lists it as uncharacterized. The record is from RefSeq and is a predicted model, not a curated record. The transcript has 3 exons. NCBI's taxonomy places the organism in Eukaryota, Metazoa, Chordata, Aves, Passeriformes, Passeridae.